UCUGCAAUGAUAAAAUGUUUUUCAAUUUAAUUAAUUAAUAUUUAAAUAGCAAUUCUCUAAAUUUAAAUGUCAAACUUGAUCAAAGUUUAGGUUGAAGGCGGUAUAUAGAGUUUGAGACAUACAAAAUAAUUUAUAACAUCUUAAAUUGUAAAUUUAUCUGGGAAACCAUCUCUAUGAUGCUGCAAGUGAGAGUCAGGUGUAAACAUCUAUGCAACAAACUGACGUCUAAUAAAUUACUCACGUGCAGUGAUUGCUGUUAUAGCGAGGAAAAGGACGACCGAUCCGAUGAACAUCAUGUUUAUUUGUAGUUUUAAGUAAGUCUCCGCCAAUUAAUCUCGUAAUCACUACGUAUUUUCCUUCUUCUGUCUUCCUUUUCUCACAUAGAUCGAGCGAGGUGGAUAUUUUCCUGUUUCGCUUUGUAUCCUUGCUACGGAAAACAUACACUCUGUUGGAUAAUAUCCCACUCGCAGUUAGCCGAGAUAUAGCACAAGGCAGACUAGAAUUAAUAUGCUACCCGCGCGAGUCGCCAAUCGACUAAGCUCUUCCACUGCUUGCCGGCUUAUUAAAUCUGUUGAUUCGGUGGGAAUAAUCGUUGGUAAUGAUUACUCGAUUGCCAUGAUUCGUUGUCGAUUAAAGCUGACUCGCGCGUUUCAUGUGAUUCUACGAAAAUUAUAAAUAUAAAAACCUUUCUUGAAUUGAAAAAUUUCAUUGUUCUGCGUUAAAUUCUUAUUAUUAAGGAUAUCUUAUUGCAAUGCGAAUUAAUAGCUUCUUGAAUAUUGAUUCUGACUCAAGUUCAUGGGAAUAACACAGGUCUAUAUAUGGGAAUUUUUCUUUUAAAUAUACUUUUUUAGUAAAUUUAUUCGAUUUUCAUCUGGAAAAUGUUCCAUGGUUUUUUAUUAAAGAGUUAUUCUAAAUUUUUAUUAUUUUAUAUUAUUUUAUUUUAUGUAUUUAUAUUAUUUUAUUAUUUAUUUACUGUGGAAUUUUAAUGUUUAAUUUAUUAUAACUUUUAGUCUAUUUAACUUUUAAUAACAUUUUUAAAGUUAUAAAAUUUUUUAAAUGCUCUUAUUAUAUCACUGCUAGUUUUAAAAAUUUUGUUAUUCUCAGUUUUGAUAUCACGAAAGUCAGAUAAAUCGCUUCUCUCACUAAAUCAAUCACAAUUGAUAACUCCGUCGGGAUAAAUUCUCAGAGAAAAGAUAAAUUUAGUUGUUAAAAUAAAAAUAAAAAUCACAAAAUUAACAUACAUUGUUAUAAAAAAGAAAUUAAUUUUGAUUAUAUAUAAAAUUAAAAUAUAAUUAAAGUGGAAUUUUUCCAGAAAGACUUACACGAAGAGGUAAAACGAGGAAUGAGGAAAUCUAACAGAAAAAGAAAGAGAAAAAACCGGUUGAAAUAAUAAUAAAAAUGAUUUUUAUUCGGAAAAUGGUAACUUCCAGGAAUAUCGCAAGACAAAAUUGAUCGAGAAGGAAAGUCAUAAUUUUUAUACUCACAGGUGGUUUGCCAAGAUAAUAUGGUCAAGCAUGUGCAGGAGUGUUGUCUGUUUUGAAACCUGCAAUCAUUAAUCAUUGUAAGGAUAAGAAAAGUUACGAUAAAACAUUAGUACUUUCUACCAAAUCGACUACCAAGGAUGUCAGUCGUCUUGUAUCUCUUUAUUAAUUUGUUAUUCAAUUGAGGAAAUAUUUCAAUUACGUCAUCAUGACCUAUAGCUACAACAAAAUACGAAGAUUUAUUCGUUCGGAAAAUUCUUCAUGAAAUCGAAUAUUAAUCGCUGAAAAACGAUUAAUAGAAUCAACAACUUAAUGGUACAUAGUUAACAGCAAUGUUGUACCAGUCUAUAUAAUAGGCGACUCUGGGAGACAUAGGAAAUGCCUGUGACACCGCAUGACAUCACUCCAACUGACCAUGCCGUGUUAAACCAUGCCAACUAAGGUGCUGUAUACACUACGCGCUUGCAAAGGACUUCAUCGCCCAGACAGUGUUGAGGAUCCAGUCCAUGUAGUAGGAGACUCUGGUGUAGACUCCGGGGAUACCCUCGAUGCCACAUGGCGACAAUCCGAAGCUGACCACGCCGUACUGGACGUAGCGCACAGUCUUGUUGUUGUAUUUAUUCGGCUUCUGUAAAGGCCCGCCGCUGUCGCCAUUACAGGUCGCCCCGUUUCUUUGACCGCCGGCGCACAAUUGCUUGUACGAAAUCUGCCUGGCGGACUUAAUAUUUCUAUAUAUUUCUUCACACUGCUCAUUUGGAAUCACCGGUAGAUUUGCCUGCUGAAGGUGGAAACGCCUAUGCAACGAACUGACGUUUAAUAAAUUACUCACGUGCAUUGAUUGCUGUUACAGCGAGGAAAAGGACAACUGAACCGAUGAACAUCAUAUUUAUUUGUGGUUUU
Long non-coding RNA from Solenopsis invicta (red fire ant), 2381 nucleotides. RefSeq lists it as uncharacterized. Lineage: Eukaryota; Metazoa; Arthropoda; Insecta; Hymenoptera; Formicidae. The transcript has 5 exons. The record is from RefSeq and is a predicted model, not a curated record.